UUCACGUUCUGUCUUUCUUCUUUCCCAACUCAAAAGUCGUCUCCUUGCUCCGACCUUUGCAGUAGUCUCAGCUAAUCCAACCAGGGCUUUGGUGGGUUUUCCAUAUCAGCUCCCCAAAAGUUAAAUCCUCAAUCUUCUCUGUAAAAGUUGACACCUUUUACUUUUCUUCUAUUUUCCUUCCUUAUUGACUAAGCUUGUAUCAUUGCAUUACAUGAUUGACCUGUAUUUAGUUAUUGGAUCAUUAAUUACGUGGUGGUUUCUUAGGAUGAGAUCAUAAGCCCACAAGUUCUAGAGAAUCUUGGAUUAUUUUAACCUCAAAAGAAUUCUAAUCAUCAGGAUCCACUGUGCAAUUAGAACCAUCUUGAAGCUUUUUAAUUUACUGUUCUUCUACUUUGUCUGGCGAACAACUUGUGCCUAAAUCAUCAGAAGCUUCUAGGAUUCUUAGUUGAUUACCCACGAUUCUGUUGAAUUCUAGGAUCUUGAUCUGUUUAAGGAAGGAUGGCUUGUCAGGAAGUUCAAUCAUGGAGCUUUGGUGGUCUUACAGUAGCAUUUCUUGACCUUUUACUUGCUUAUUUCCUGCUAUGCAUAUCAGCUUUUGUGUUUUUCGUAUCGAAGUUGUUGAAGGUUUUCUGGGUGUAUUUGCCUUGUCCUUGUAAUGGGGUUUUCGGGUAUAGAAAUCGUGAUCUUUGCUUGCAUAAGUUGCUUAAUGAGUGGCCUGUUGCCAAGAUUUAUGCUGUUCAGAAGUUGGUGAAGAGUAGGUUCCCUUUUGAUAUUCGGUUUAAGGAUCAAACAUGCAACUUGAGUCAGAAGUUGAUUAGGGAUGUGAAUGGAGGGAAUGGUGUUCUUGAAUUGGAAGGUGAGUCAUGUUGUAGUCCGUUUUCGAGCCCGAGAUUGCAAAGUCUGGUUGAUAAGGAAAGUGGGUAUGAUGCUAAGGGGAAGAGAAUUGUGAUUCUGAAGAAAAGGACUGGAAUUCGGCGUUCUAGGAGGGAUAGUUCAAAAUCUCCUCGUAUAUUCCCCUUUCCUCUUGAUGAAAGAGGUACAGGAGAGAUAUCUGGUGAAAGCUCAAUUGCUGUAGCUGCAAGACACGAUGAGCCUCAAGCAUCCGGAGAUGAUAGAGGGGAAGGAAUAUGUGGACUUUCUAAGUUGAGUGAAUCAGCUGCUGAGAGUAAAGGUCUGGAUGCAAGUUACGGUGAAGAAAAGUUUCCCAUUUUUGAAAAUGAAAGUGAUACAAUCAGGAUGUUGGAAGGAGCACUUGAAAAAGAGAAAGCUGCUUGUGCUGCUCUCUAUUUAGAGCUGGAGAAAGAGCGAUCUGCUGCUGCAACUGCUGCUGAUGAAGCAAUGGCCAUGAUAAGUCGUCUGCAGAAGGAUAAAGCAUCGACAGAAAUGGAAGUGAGACAGUACCAAAGGAUGAUUGAAGAGAAAUUUGUUUAUGAUGAAGAAGAGAUGGAUGUUCUGAAAGAGAUACUUCUUAGGAGGGAGAAGGAGAAUCAUUAUUUGGAGAAGGAAGUUGAAGCAUAUAGACAGAUGAAUUCUUUAGGAAAUGAACAGUGUAAUGGUGAUUCAAAUGAUAAGCUGCGUGAAUGGGGACAAACUGCACUUUCUUCGAAUAUAGAUUCACAACUGAUGAUGCCGUGGACUAAUGAAACUAAAUCUAAUCAUAUGGAACUGGGAUAUAUUGCAGACAGUACCUCUCAGUUUGACGCUUCAUUUGUCAAAAAACAAAUCCAUUCCAAUGGACAUGAUGUUGUUGAGAAAAGUGUCCUUUCAGGAUGGGAAGGAAAACAAUACGCAGAUAAUGCAAUGUGCCCAGGAAUGACUACUGAAGCAGUCCAAGCUAAGAUAGGGAUUGAGAAAAGUUUCUAUAGUGAUGGAGGAGAGCUGCAGCAAGGUGGGGAUCUUGAAAGCCAUUAUCAUAGUCCAUUGCUUGAUACAGAGCCAGCUGUUCAUGACAUUCAUGUCAUAGAUGGUAAAACUGAAAUAGUAAGAGGAGAAAGUAGGCCAUCAAUUUAUGCUGCUUUGGAUGGAUUCCAAGAUCCGAGAUGUGGGGCUUCUGGAGUCUGUAGCAGCUUGGAACCUCUGCUGAGCAUGGGGAAAGGCAAAACGCCUCCUUAAAACUUUCGGAGGAGAUCAGGAAUCAGCUAUUGUAAUUCUAAAGCUAAGAGAUCGAAUGUGACUUGCUUCUUUACUGGCUUUAUCUUCUAAGGUGCAUUUGAAGACAAGACGUAGCCAAAGUAUGUAACACCCCCAGAUGUGUGAAUAUCUGAGGGCUGGUGCUCCAAGUCUAUUUGUAUCUCAUUGAUGGUUGAAAGGGUGAAUGAAUAGGAUAUGCCCCCUAGGUGCUCAGUUGUGCACAUAAACUUUUGCGUAUCGUAGUUUUCAGUUCUGUGAAAUUGGCUUUCAGAGCCAUGUUCCCAAGUGAUGAAUCUGUCCCCCACCUCGUCUUUCCUGGGAAAAGUUCGAAAAAGGAAAUUACCUCGAAUUGUACGGGCAAAGGUUGUAGAUGCAUGUAAGUGUUGCCUUUUAGCUAGCUUCUUAUGAAAUGGAUAUACUAUUCUUUGUUCCUUA
Molecule: RNA transcript, 2565 nt
Organism: Rosa chinensis
Lineage: Eukaryota; Viridiplantae; Streptophyta; Magnoliopsida; Rosales; Rosaceae
Exons: 3
Source: RefSeq, a predicted model, not a curated record